Pollicipes pollicipes is the source of this 834-nucleotide long non-coding RNA. RefSeq lists it as uncharacterized. NCBI's taxonomy places the organism in Eukaryota, Metazoa, Arthropoda, Thecostraca, Pollicipedomorpha, Pollicipedidae. The transcript is spliced from 3 exons. The record is from RefSeq and is a predicted model, not a curated record.
CGGCCAUUCUCGUCGCGGGCGCUGUGUCGUGUGGCGGGUAAUCCGCUUUGGGGCCGGGGUCUCCUGGCCGUGUUCGGCGGAUGGGCGUGAACUCGGCUCGGGCGCCGAGCCGAGUUCGAGCCGAGCCGAGUCCUGACCCGGUCUCGAACAGCCAUGCCAAAUGGACGGAACGGGCUGCGCGAUCGUGGCCUGAUAGUAUCCAGACGGUCGUUUCGCUGGAACGAACUCGUCUGGGGACGAAUGCUUCGAGAGGAGGGAGUUCGCCUAUCUUGACGUCCGACGCCUCGCUGAAGGACGUGCAGCCACAAACAUGCACCUCGACCAAAGUAGCAAUACGACACGAGCCGUGACAGCGCUCGUGUGCUGAACUUGGGACCAGUGACAGGCGGACGAGCUGAUCAAAACUCCGGUAGGGGCCAUACCUGGCAAGUUCGGGUAGCGGCCAUACCUAGUACGCGCUCGAUCGUGCCACCACCAGGAUCUUGUUGAGCAACUUCCGUCCGCGCCGAGCUGUUCUGCAUACUCCAGCUAUUAAAGAACGACAAAAUCGAAUGCAUGGCCGCAUUGCGAUGAGGGUAGUUGUUGGCCUGGGUGCUGUUAUCGUCCAAUCAACACAUGCUUCACUCAGUGUAUCAUGACGCGGUAUUUCUGCAUUGAUCCAUGCUUCAUUUGAACCAUAAAAGCUGACCACCAUUUAAGGCUCAUUAUUGGAACUGAACAUCGUGACAGAUACAUAGCACAGCGAAAGCAUGUCGCGACAAAUACUAUCAUAGUGGUGCAUUACAAUCAGGAGCACCAAUCCUCAUCAGACCUCCAACACCUGGCGGCCGGACC